This 253-nucleotide ribosomal RNA is filed under the name uncultured bacterium. RNAcentral describes it as "partial 16S ribosomal RNA". It matches the Rfam family "Bacterial small subunit ribosomal RNA", at positions 524 to 776 of the family's 1533-position model. The record is from RNAcentral.
UACGUAGGGGGCGAGCGUUGUCCGGAGUUACUGGGCGUAAAGGGUCCGUAGGCGGAUCUGUAAGUCAGUGGUGAAAUCUCACAGCUUAACUGUGAAACUGCCAUUGAUACUGCAGGUCUUGAGUGUUAUUGAAGUAGCUGGAAUAAGUAGUGUAGCGGUGAAAUGCAUAGAUAUUACUUAGAACGCCAAUUGCGAAGGCAGGUUACUAAGCAACAACUGACGCUGAUGGACGAAAGCGUGGGGAGCGAACAGG